Molecule: ribosomal RNA, 420 nt
Filed under: Meloe mediterraneus
Lineage: Eukaryota; Metazoa; Arthropoda; Insecta; Coleoptera; Meloidae
Description: partial large subunit ribosomal RNA
Rfam family: Archaeal large subunit ribosomal RNA
Source: RNAcentral
UUUGACUGUGCAAAGGUAGCAUAAUCAUUAGUUUUUUAAUUGAAAGCUGGAAUGAAUGGUCGGAUGAGAAAGAAGCUGUCUCAUUAUAAUUUGGGUUGAAUUUUAUUUUUAAGUUAAAAAGCUUAAAUGUUAUAGAAAGACGAGAAGACCCUAUAGAGUUUAAUAAGUUAGUGGGUUAAUUAUUUUAGGGUUUUAAUAUAGUUAGUUUAUUACUUGUUUGGUUGGGGUGACAUGAGAAUUUAAUUAACUUCUUAUAAUUUUAACAUUAAUUAAUGAAUGGAUGAUCCUGAUAUUUGGAUUUUAAGAGAAAAUUACCUUAGGGAUAACAGCGUAAUCUUUUUGGAGAGUUCUUAUCGAUAAAAGGGAUUGCGACCUCGAUGUUGGAUUAAAGUUAAGUUUUGGUGUAGAAGCUAAAAUUUU